This 1353-nucleotide long non-coding RNA is filed under the name Mus musculus (house mouse). Its description in RNAcentral is "RIKEN cDNA 1700054A03 gene". Lineage: Eukaryota; Metazoa; Chordata; Mammalia; Rodentia; Muridae. The record is from RNAcentral.
AUGUAAGAUAGCAGCUCAAUACAAUAAAGAGCAAAACCAACAUCUCAGGACGUAGAAAUAAAAAAAAAAUCACUUGACAAAUGCCAACACCCAUGGAUGAUAAAGGUAUUCAGCUAACCAGAAAGAGGAACUCUACCUCAGGAAGAGAUGGCUCAGCAGGUCAAAGGCGCCUACAGCUAAGCCUGACUGCAUGAGUUCAAACUCCAGGGCCCACAGAGCGGACUCCCCCAGGCUGGCCUCUGACCUCCAUACGUGGUAUUCGCACACCCAGAGACGAAGACACCAGUUGCUAGGGAGAGGUGGAUCCUUGAAGGCUACUAACCCAGACUGAAUGAGUAUGCUGUAAGGCUCUUGAAGGAAAGAUACGGAGAGCAUGGAGGAGGGGUGCCUUCCCAAGGACCUUAGACUGGUGUGGGAAAUAUAAAUGCUCUACAGCAUGACCCAUCUUCAUCCCCAUGCUGGAAGGAAGGCCUGGUAGCCAGAAUAUAUCCUCCACCUGAGAGCCGGGAUCAUCACUAGUUCUUGAACAGAGGACCGCAGGAGCAUUUCCUUUAUAAAUGUCAUCAAGCAGAGCCAGGUGCACUGGCACAUAUCCUUAAUCCCAGCACUGGGAAGGCAGAGGCAAGAGAGUCACAGCAAGCUUGAGGCCUGCCUGGUCCACAUAUGGAGUCCCUGGAUAUUCAGAGCGCCACGGAAACCCUGUCUCAAACUCUAAAUAAAACGGACCAAGCAAAAAGGGGCCGGCAGAAAAGUAACUCAAGUCAGGAUGACUCAAGUCAGGAUGUUGGAAGAAGGAUCUCUGAGUGAGAUUUGAAAUCCUACCUGGAUCUGAAUCCUAGCCCUGAGCUUGCUAGCUGGGUAACCUGCUGUAAGUGACCAGAGGAGACACUGUUUUCUCUUGUAUGAUUAGAGUCGUCAUGCAAACUACGAACACUGUGAGAACCAAGAUAUGGCAGGGUUCAGUCCAUCACAGCAGGGAAAGCAUGGCCGCAGAUGCAAGGCAGUUGUCAAUAUCGUCUCCACAGUCAGCAAGCAGAGAGUAGACAGGAAACACGGCAUGGACAUAAAACCUUCAAGCCUUCCUCAGUGGCCUGCUUUCUCCAGAGGAGUUCCACUUCCUAAUGGCUACGCACACUUCCAAAAGAGCACCACCAGCUGGGGACCAGCUGUUCCAACAUGAGCCUGUGGGGGACAUUUACCAUUCAAGCACACGGGAGACUGCUAUGGACAGAAGAAAGCAGAGCGUUUUCUUCAGAUAUGGCGAGCAGGAUGUGAUUUGUUGCUUCUAUCUGCACAGGUUUAACUCAAGAAAUCGUCAUCACCAGAAUUCAAAUAAAACCUUCAGUUCUCACA